This 171-nucleotide ribosomal RNA is filed under the name uncultured bacterium. RNAcentral describes it as "partial 16S ribosomal RNA". The record is from RNAcentral.
CACGCCCUAAACGAUGUCAACUGGUUGUUGGGUCUUCACUGACUCAGUAACGAAGCUAACGCGUGAAGUUGACCGCCUGGGGAGUNACGCGAAAAACCUUACCCACCUUUGACAUGUACGGAACUUGCCAGAGAUGGCUUGGUGCUCGAAAGAGAACCGUAACACAGGUGC